Molecule: long non-coding RNA, 1674 nt
Organism: Gossypium raimondii (Peruvian cotton)
Lineage: Eukaryota; Viridiplantae; Streptophyta; Magnoliopsida; Malvales; Malvaceae
Exons: 3
Source: RefSeq, a predicted model, not a curated record
AUGUCUUCUUCUUCUCUCUUGAAUUUAUUUAAAAAUAUCUAAAAAAACUAAGUUUAGAAGAAAUUCAUUGAAAAGAAAGUUUGUAGUGUUUAGCUAUCACCUAAGUUAGUACUAGCUUACUGGUAAUACUGAUGAACCUUUAGGUUAUUAUUGAAGUUAUCUAUGUGUUUAUCGUACUGCAUGCAUAGAUGUUAAAAUUUUUUGAGAGGAAGGAAACCUCCUGAUUCUGGGUUGUGUUUUACCAAUUCUUGCAUGCAUGAUAAGUUUUGAGAGAUUGAUCAUUUGAUAUGUAUAAUUAUCAUUCUUUUAGCUCAAGAAGCUAACGAGGGUCCCAACGGUAAAGGCAAAUGAUUUGCUGUGUAGAUUUGUACUAGAGUUUCUGGUGAGUUCCUUAUUACUUCCAUUUGUUGUAAAUUCCAUUGUUAUAUAAAUUAUGUAAGGUAAGUAAUCUUCCUCAGUAAUGUAUGAAUGGUUAAUGUGGGGGUAAUGGUCAUCCAGUGUAAUCAGUCUGAGUUCAGUUUGUUUGUGUUCAAUCUGUUUGUAUGGGUAAUGGUGUAUGCGUGAGAUAUGAUAUGUGGUGAUGGAGAAUGAGAGACAUAUUUGUGAAGCCUCUGGUAGGGUAGCUAUAUUGCAAACCGAACUGGAAAAUCACAAUAAAACAUGCUAUUCUGAAUGAAAUCGAUAUGAGGAGUUAAGAGGGAGUAUGUAUGUGAAUGAGACUGUAUGAUAUGCUUUGAAUUUGAAUUAUAGGUACGUGAUUGGCAUGAGGAUGAGAUGUAUUUGUCGUGUUAAAUUGGCGUACAGUAUCCGCCUAUGUGUUAUGUAAAUUGGCAUAUUAAGUCUAUCCGUGUUCUGUAAAUGUCAUUAGGUGUAAUAUGAUCAAUAUGUGAAACUCCUUCUGAAAGGUUUGGUAUUAUCAUAUGAAUUGGUAUGUAGGAUUUCUCUUUACUUUUGGGAACUCACUAAGUGCAUAUGAAGUUACUCUGUUAUCUUUUCCUUCUCAGGCUUACUGACUGAAGGAAGACUUUUUUGUUGAAGGGACUACGCCAGAGAACUGUUGCUAUUAUCACCAGGUCUUCAUCAGAAGCUUAAUAUCGUAGCUUGGCGAACUGUGUUUUUGAGCUAUCAUGGAUAAAGCAACUCUUGGUUGAAGUUGGAGUGGUAGUUCAUUAGUCACCAGUAAUAUGGUGUGACAACACGCCUACGAUUUCAAUCGCAGCAAAUCCCACACAUAAUGCUAAGGUGAAGCAUGCGGAAGUCGAUCACCAUUUUGUCCGUGAGAAAGUUCUCGACGUGGUCUUCAAGUUUUAUCUCUAGCUGAAGUUAUCAAGUUUCAACACAAAUAAAAAAACCGAGAGAAUGUUAGAGUAUUAGAUUAGUAGAGUUGUUAAGGUUGUUAAGGUUCCGUUAAAACGGUUAUGCAGUUGUGGCUACCGUUAGCGGACCUUAUUGACAUGUAUAAAAAUCCUAAUUAUCUUCAUGCAUGAUAAGCAAUAAUUUAAUAGUAUUGCUUUUUCACAGAAAAUACUAUUCUUGUUUGUUGACUUGCACUUUUAAGAUUCUUUGCUAUAGUUUAACACAGCCUAUAUAAGCCACCACCGUAAGAACGAUAGGAGAAUCAGUGAAGAGAAUGACUUAUGACAAUCCAAAAAAAUAGACAAUAGACAAGCCAAA